CCUACGGGUGGCUGCAGUGAGGAAUAUUGGUCAAUGGGCGGAAGCCUGAACCAGCCAAGUAGCGUGCAGGAUGACUGCCCUACGGGUUGUAAACCGCUUUUGUACGGGAAUAACGCCACUUACGUGUAGGGCUUUGCAUGUACCGUAUGAAUAAGCAUCGGCUAACUCCGUGCCAGCAGCCGCGGUAAUACGGAAGGUCCGGGCGUUAUCCGGAUUUAUUGGGUUUAAAGGGUGCGUAGGCCGGGUUUCAAGCGUGCUGUUAAAUGUUGGGGCUCAACCCGGACCCUGCAGCGGGAACUGGUGUUCUUGAGUGGGCGGAAAGCAGGCGGAAUGCGUGGUGUAGCGGGGAAAUGCAUAGAUAUGACGAAGAACCCCGAUUGCGAAGGCAGCAUGCUGCAGCGGAACUGACGCUGAAGCUCGAAAGCGCGGGUAUCGAACAGGAUUAGAUACCCGAGUAGUC
RNAcentral lists this ribosomal RNA (460 nucleotides) under uncultured bacterium. Its description in RNAcentral is "partial 16S ribosomal RNA". It matches the Rfam family "Bacterial small subunit ribosomal RNA", at positions 338 to 795 of the family's 1533-position model. The record is from RNAcentral.